RNAcentral lists this long non-coding RNA (669 nucleotides) under Marmota monax (woodchuck). The record is from RNAcentral. Lineage: Eukaryota; Metazoa; Chordata; Mammalia; Rodentia; Sciuridae.
CUUCUCUCUUCUCCCGUUUUAAUAAAUGUAAAACAUUUAAUAAAUGCCAUUUAAUAAGUGUUCCAGUAAAUGUAAUGGUUCUCCGCUGAGUAUUUUUUUUCUCUUCUACUCAGCCUUUUUCGUGAGUUCCUUGGAUGCUGAGCCUCUUUCCCUUCUAGGUAACCCAGUGUUGAGAGGGCUUGAGACCCACUGGCCUUGGGAACAGACCUCAAAGACACGCCCAGCCCACCAAGGACGAUCUGGUUUAAGCUACAACACACCACGCCGGCUUUCCACACCAAAUGUAAUGCCUAAAAAACCCAAAUGGCUUCGAAGUCGCAGCAGGCCAGUGAUUUCAAUUAUCCUGGCAUUCCUUGUGAGUUGGCCCAGCUUGUGUGAUUGGGAAUCCUGAGGGUCGGUCCAUCGGACUGAAUAUCAUUUUUACAAACGGAAAAAAUUAAGGUUGAAAUGGAAAGGCACAGAAAAAUAAUAUUGUCUGACCCAACUAUUUCUACAAGGAAUGGCUGGAAAUGGUGAGGUUACACAGAUUGUUAAUGGAUCUGGAAAUAAAGCCCUGCUUUAUUGAAAUUUUAGUAAAGAAGGCUGAAGACUUGUUUUAGGGGUGACAGGGGGGUAAGAUAAUAUAUAAAAAAAUUUUUUUUGUUUUCCUUUUGUUAUUGCCAAGCAUCA